This 423-nucleotide ribosomal RNA is filed under the name uncultured bacterium. RNAcentral describes it as "bacterial SSU rRNA". It matches the Rfam family "Bacterial small subunit ribosomal RNA", at positions 358 to 774 of the family's 1533-position model. The record is from RNAcentral.
GGAAUCUUCCACAAUGGGCGCAAGCCUGAUGGAGCAACACCGCGUGAGUGAAGAAGGGUUUCGGAUCGUAAAGCUCUGUUGUUAGAGAAGAACGUGCGUGAGAGCAAUUGUUCACGCAGUGACGGUAUCUAACCAGAAAGUCACGGCUAACUACGUGCCAGCAGCCGCGGUAAUACGUAGGUCCCGAGCGUUGUCCGGAUUUAUUGGGCGUAAAGCGAGCGCAGGCGGUUUAAUAAGUCUGAAGUUAAAGGCAGUGGCUUAACCAUUGUUCGCUUUGGAAACUGUUAGACUUGAGUGCAGAAGGGGAGAGUGGAAUUCCAUGUGUAGCGGUGAAAUGCGUAGAUAUAUGGAGGAACACCGGUGGCGAAAGCGGCUCUCUGGUCUGUAACUGACGCUGAGGCUCGAAAGCAUGGGUAGCGAACA